UGGCGUUUGCACCUGAUACUAGCCAACUAGCACGAAGCAGAGGUGAUUAAGAACCGAAAGGUCACAGGUAACCGCCUUCAAACUGACUGCAUGGCCAAUGUUUUUACAUCAAUUAACACUACUACAAGAUAACUGUGAAAAAGUCGUUUCUUGAAAAAUUACCGUUCGGAUAAACGAGUCAUUUUUCAAUGAACUAUUACGUUUUGUAGUACAAAUCGACCGUCCGUAUGCGGAACGCGAUUUUCCAGAUUAACAAGACAAAACAAUGUGGAAAAAAUUGGUUCCCAAAAAAUAUCGCCUGGAUGGUGAAGCGUCUGGAUAAAUGGCGUCCAGAUAAACACAGCUGCCACUGUAUUUAAUGUUAACUUGCCAAAAACACUCCUAAACAAGGUUUUCUUCGAAAUUAUGUUGUAUUUCUGCAAUUGCGGACUCAAAAAACCUCAGAAAUAUGAAAAAAUACAGAUUUUGUAAAUUAAUGGCAUAUCUGAGCAUAGAUCAGAAAAUAGCUUAAACAUUAAUCAACCAAGCUAAGUGAUGCCAAGAAGUGUAGUAUGUCUGACGCCCUGGCAAAGAAGUUAGCACCUGUCACUGUACAUAGAGAAGCCCUGAAGUCUAUCACUAACGUCCAGACAAGUGUUCCUGCCUCCACAGCCACAGACCAAUCACAUGUACUUUCAGAUAUUGUUGAUGUUAACGACCAAGAACUUGCUCUCCUUCUUGACAACCCAAUGUUUGGAAAUCUUCAGGACACGAGCAUCAGUAUCCCUAACGUGAAUUCCACAAAAUCAAUGUUUUCUUUUCAUGGAUGUAACGUUACCAUUAACAAUUAAAAUGUGUAGAUUUGUUCAAAUUUAUUGUUGAAUUGAAAUGUAAAUUUUAUUCUUCUACAUGUUCUAGCUUAUUGCCUCUGUUUGUUAUGAUUCUUGUUUAACAUGUAAUAUUUGUAAAACCUUUGUUCAAGUGCGAAGGCAAUCCCUUUCAUGAUUGUUGAUUAAUACACGUAAAGUCUCUCUC
Molecule: long non-coding RNA, 1014 nt
Organism: Saccostrea echinata
Lineage: Eukaryota; Metazoa; Mollusca; Bivalvia; Ostreida; Ostreidae
Exons: 2
Source: RefSeq, a predicted model, not a curated record